This 741-nucleotide ribosomal RNA is filed under the name Rhizobium sp. Its description in RNAcentral is "bacterial SSU rRNA". It matches the Rfam family "Bacterial small subunit ribosomal RNA", at positions 56 to 850 of the family's 1533-position model. The record is from RNAcentral. Lineage: Bacteria; Pseudomonadati; Pseudomonadota; Alphaproteobacteria; Hyphomicrobiales; Rhizobiaceae.
UGCAAGUCGAGCGCCCCGCAGGGGAGCGGCAGACGGGUGAGUAACGCGUGGGAAUCUACCGAGCCCUACGGAAUAACGCAUGGAAACGUGUGCUAAUACCGUAUACGCCCUACGGGGGAAAGAUUUAUCGGGGUUUGAUGAGCCCGCGUUGGAUUAGCUAGUUGGUGGGGUAAAGGCCUACCAAGGCGACGAUCCAUAGCUGGUCUGAGAGGAUGAUCAGCCACAUUGGGACUGAGACACGGCCCAAACUCCUACGGGAGGCAGCAGUGGGGAAUAUUGGACAAUGGGCGCAAGCCUGAUCCAGCCAUGCCGCGUGAGUGAUGAAGGUCUUAGGAUUGUAAAGCUCUUUCACCGGAGAAGAUAAUGACGGUAUCCGGAGAAGAAGCCCCGGCUAACUUCGUGCCAGCAGCCGCGGUAAUACGAAGGGGGCUAGCGUUGUUCGGAAUUACUGGGCGUAAAGCGCACGUAGGCGGAUAUUUAAGUCAGGGGUGAAAUCCCAGAGCUCAACUCUGGAACUGCCUUUGAUACUGGGUAUCUAGAGUAUGGAAGAGGUGAGUGGAAUUCCGAGUGUAGAGGUGAAAUUCGUAGAUAUUCGGAGGAACACCAGUGGCGAAGGCGGCUCACUGGUCCAUUACUGACGCUAGGUGCGAAAGCGUGGGGAGCAAACAGGAUUAGAUACCCUGGUAGUCCACGCCGUAACGAUGAAUGUUAGCCGUCGGGCAGCUGCUGUUCGGUGGCGCA